Molecule: non-coding RNA, 210 nt
Organism: Meleagris gallopavo (turkey)
Lineage: Eukaryota; Metazoa; Chordata; Aves; Galliformes; Phasianidae
Source: RefSeq, a predicted model, not a curated record
CGCUGGCGGGCAGCCGGCCGAGGAGCCCGGGGGAGCUCGCCUGGCAGCCGGCAGGCUCGGGGGGUCCGUCCAGGUGAUGAGCUCCACCAACGGGGAGCUGAACACGGACGACCCGACGGCGGGGCACUCGAACGCGCCCAUCACAGCCCCCACCGAAGUGGAGGUGACCGACGAUACAAAGUGCUGCUGUUUCUUCAAGAGGAGGAAGAG